GGACUGGCGGUUGUCCGGAAUUAUUGGGCGUAAGGGCUCGCAGGCGGUUUCUUAAGUCUGAUGUGAAAGCCCCCGGCUCAACCGGGGAGGGUCAUUGGAAACUGGGGAACUUGAGUGCAGAAGAGGAGAGUGGAAUUCCACGUGUAGCGGUGAAAUGCGUAGAGAUGUGGAGGAACACCAGUGGCGAAGGCGACUCUCUGGUCUGUAACUGACGCUGAGGAGCGAAAGCGUGGGGAGCGAACAGGAUUAGAUACCCUGGUAGUCC
Molecule: ribosomal RNA, 265 nt
Filed under: Bacillus sp. (in: firmicutes)
Lineage: Bacteria; Bacillati; Bacillota; Bacilli; Caryophanales; Bacillaceae
Description: Bacillus sp. (in: Bacteria) partial 16S ribosomal RNA
Rfam family: Bacterial small subunit ribosomal RNA
Source: RNAcentral